CACCCCCUGUACGGCAGUAACCAGGCGUUGUCUCUGGGUUAGGGGUAAAGAGGAGGGACUGGGAGGACCUCUUUAAAUGGAAGAGGCAGAGAGGCCUUCACUUCAUACUUAACUCUGGUGCUGGCUCCUUCCUCAGACUGUAUCUCACACUGGAACCAAGUGGGAGGGCAGCACCCAGCUCUGCCAGGCACCCUUUCAGAACAGCAGCUGCCACUGGUCUGAUGUCCUGCAGUGCCCUGUGCUGACCUAAGACCGCAGGGUCUCGGUGAAUCCGCAGGUCAGGAGGGAUGCCAGAGACCGUGCGUGCAGCCUGCUGCUCUACUGUUUUCUUUUUUGAGACAUGGUCUCACUGUGUAGUUCUGGCUGCCUUUGAACUCUCAGGAUCCUCCUGCCUCAGCCACAUGAGUGCUGGAAUUACAGGAAUGUGCCACCAUGCCGGGAAGUAUCUGUCUUUUGAAACAGGGUUUCACUAUGCAGUUCAGGCUGGCUUUGACCUCACUUUGUAGCGCAGGCUGGCCUGGAACUCUCAGUAAUCCUGCUGCCUUAGCCUCAUGAGUGCUGGGAUUACAGGCAUGUACCACCACGCCUGGCUCGCCUUAUUCUUGAAACCAAGGAAAACACUAAACUCAGGGCCCCGGGGAGCUGUGGGCAUCACUGUGAUCCUAUUCCCGCAGAACCACCCUUCCCAAAGUCUCUGUCCACCGUCCUCAGGGUGAGGCUUCUCAGCUGUCCUCCUAGGCCUCAAAGGCCGGAAUGUCAGGGUCCCCUGGGAAGCACUUUUCCUGAGCAACAGGCCCCUUCAGAUGAGCUCCCCAGGAGCCUUCAAGGCCACAGCCCCCAGCUCGGUUUUUCUGCAGCUGCCAGGCCACUACCUGUGCCGGGGGUGGUUUGCGCUCAGGCCCAGCUGGAGCGUAAUGAGAACUUUUGGUGAUUCGGGCUGGCCUGCCUGGGAGUUUCUCUCCUGGCAUACGCCAGAGUGUGUGCAUAUUGGUACCCUUUAGCCAGUAUCGUGCAAGUCACAGAAUCAUAGACUGCUGGGCAGGGCAGGGAGGAACCUGCGUGUUGGUAGUGGACAGUGAGACCUGGCUGAGAAACAAUCUUGUCAGAGUCACUGAACAGCAAGGAAGGAGAUGGGAUUCAAGCCUAUCUUCAGCACCGAGGGCUGCUGAGUGGCUUAGGAAUGAGGGUGUGCAGCAAGGCUGUGGAGCUCGGAGAGCCAGCAAAUGGCGCUCUGUUGAGGACUGUCUUUGUUUGCUGCCCGUUAAACGCUGUACCAUUCCUGUGCUGUGUCUAGACACUGCUGAAUAUCUCCUAUGGGAAAGAGUUGCCUCCCCACCCACCCCAUCCUGCUGAGAACCACUGCUCUAGAGUGGACUCCUUGCUCCAUGGCUUCCAGAGCCACAUCAAGAGCUCUGUGAUUCACGUGUGUUCUGUGCCCUCCAAGGCUCAGUCUGGCUGGAGAGGGCAGGCCCGCUCAGAGCAAAGGAAGGGAGGCCAUCCACAGGCAGAGCUGGGUGCAGAGUCUGCACAGGGGCGAGCACCCUGCAGACUGCGGAGAUCCAGGAAGGCUUCUCAGAGCACAGUGGUGGGCUUGGUGGGUGGAGGACAUCCUGGGUGGAAGGAAGGGCACAGAGAGAGCAGGGAAAUACUAGCUGUUGGGGGUGGCCUGUGCAGCCCAGGAGGAGUGGCGUCAGGGUGGUGAUGUGAGCAGGCUCAGCCCUGGCCCUGAAGCAGAUACUGUUCCCCGGGCCUUGUGGGUAUUGUCCUGUCAGUCUCCCCAGCAGUCUCCAGAGAAGGAGGCAUGAAAACUCACCAUACACAGGUGAAAAGGACGUGCAGAAAGCCUGGCCAUUUGCCCACGUCCCACAGCUUGUGAAGAUUCCGUGGAAGCUGCAGGAAGAAGCUUGGGUCUCAGGGUCUCCCUAUGCGAUUCAGGCUGGUAUCCAACUCACAGUGAUCCUCCUGCCUCAGCCUCCCGAGUGCUGGCACUACAGGAACAAUGGCCUGGCAGCCUUCAAGAGGCUAGACUAAGAGAAAAGGCUAAUGCCAUGAAGAUGAAUUAUGAUGCCCCUGCAUCAACUUCUUUUUUUUACUCCUCAUGUUGCUAUGGAAAGACCAGAGUAAUUGUAUUUUAAUAAUAAUAAAACAAUAAUCGUACUCAUCUA
Cavia porcellus (domestic guinea pig) is the source of this 2165-nucleotide long non-coding RNA. RefSeq lists it as uncharacterized. Lineage: Eukaryota; Metazoa; Chordata; Mammalia; Rodentia; Caviidae. The transcript has 5 exons. The record is from RefSeq and is a predicted model, not a curated record.